Long non-coding RNA from Oncorhynchus tshawytscha (Chinook salmon), 1042 nucleotides. The record is from Ensembl. Lineage: Eukaryota; Metazoa; Chordata; Actinopteri; Salmoniformes; Salmonidae.
AAUUAGGCCAGCGUCUAAACAACGUAAAAUCUACUAUUAAACCUGCACCAAGCGGCUCCCCAUCCCAGACAGUGGAAAAGCUAUUUUUUAAAAAACAGCGAUGAACCAAUCUCUUCCGAGACCGACGGCGAUGAACCAAUCUCUUCCGAGACCGACGGCGAUGAACCAAUCUCUUCCGAGACCGACGGCGAUGAACCAAUCUCUUCCGAGACCGACGGCGAUGAACCAAUCUCUUCCGAGACCGACGGCGAUGAACCAAUCUCUUCUGAGAUCGACGGCGAUGAACCAAUCUCUUCCGAGACCGACGGUGAUGAACCAAAUUAAAACAGGCUGGUGUUUUCACUACACUACUCUCUAAUCUAUCUUCUCCCUCAAGGUCUGAACGGCGAAAACCUGCUAAAAUUGCUUCUAAAUUAAGUCUAACACAGAAAUCAUGAUUUAGACAAGUCAAACUAGAAGGCAAUCAAACCCUUAAUACAACGAUUAUCCUUAUUUAAAAGAAAGCAGAUAAUCUCCUCCUCCUUGGAUUUAGUCUCCUUAAAGAGGAUCCUUUGACUAAUUGCUCUUGUUAAUCAAGCUUUAGGUUUAAUUGUUGACAAGAGAUCCACUUGGAUGACUUAAGAGUGUAAAAAAAAAAAAAAAUCCCAUCUCAAAACAAAAUCUCUCCCCAAUCUAGGGGCUGCUAGGAUAGAUAACAUCUUGAAAUGAAGUGAGAGCUGAUUAAAAGGCAUCCUAAGAGAUCUUGUUUGUGUCCCAAAAUGGCACCCCGUUCCCUAUAGAUGACCUGGAGCCCCUUGUGAACAGUAUUGCACUUCCUAGAGAAUAAGAUGUUAUUUGGGAUACCUAGGGGGUUUCGGGGUUCACUGAUAGACAGACUGCUGAAUAGGAUGUUAUUUGGGAUACCUAGGGGGUUUCGGGGUUCACUGAUAGACUGCUGAAUAGGAUGUUAUUUGGGAUACCUAGGGGUUUCGGGGUUCACUGAUAGACAGACUGCUGAAUAGGAUGUUAUUUGGGAUACCUAGGGGGUUUCGGGGUUCACUGA